This 216-nucleotide ribosomal RNA is filed under the name uncultured bacterium. Its description in RNAcentral is "partial 16S ribosomal RNA". It matches the Rfam family "Bacterial small subunit ribosomal RNA", at positions 524 to 733 of the family's 1533-position model. The record is from RNAcentral.
UACGUAGGGUGCAAGCGUGUCCGGAAUUAUUGGGCGUAAAGAGCUCGUAGGCGGUUUGUUGCGUCGGCUGUGAAAUCCCGAGGCUCAACCUCGGGUCUGCAGUCGAUACGAGCAAACUAGAGUGUUGCAGGGGAGACUGGGAAUUCCUGGUGUAGCGGUGAAAUGCGCAGAUAUCAGGGAGGGAACACCCGGUGGGCGAAAGGCGGGGUCUCUGGG